AACGAACGCUGGCGGCAUGCCUAACACAUGCAAGUCGAACGAUGCCUUCGGGCAUAGUGGCGCACGGGUGCGUAACGCGUGGGAAUCUGCCCUUGGCUUCGGAAUAACAGUUAGAAAUGACUGCUAAUACCGGAUGAUGUCCCCCUGAGAGAUCUUGGGGACCAAAGAUUUAUCGGCCAGGGAUGAGCCCGCGUAGGAUUAGGUAGUUGGUGGGGUAAAGGCCUACCAAGCCGACGAUCCUUAGCUGGUCUAAGAGGAUGAUCAGCCACACUGGGACUGAGACACGGCCCAGACUCCUACGGGAGGCAGCAGUGGGGAAUAUUGGACAAUGGGGGGAACCCUGAUCCAGCAAUGCCGCGUGAGUGAUGAAGGCCUUAGGGUUGUAAAGCUCUUUUACCAGGGAUGAUAAUGACAGUACCUGGAGAAUAAGCUCCGGCUAACUCCGUG
This 447-nucleotide ribosomal RNA is filed under the name uncultured bacterium. RNAcentral's name for it is "partial 16S ribosomal RNA". It matches the Rfam family "Bacterial small subunit ribosomal RNA", at positions 29 to 507 of the family's 1533-position model. The record is from RNAcentral.